UGGCCAUACCAUGCUGAAAGCACCGGUUCUCGUCCGAUCAUCAAAGUUAAGCAUCAAAGUGCACGGUCAGUACUUGGAAGGGUGACAGCCUGGGUGAGCCCUCGUGU
Non-coding RNA from Nephila pilipes (giant wood spider), 107 nucleotides. The record is from the annotation of a GenBank genome assembly. Lineage: Eukaryota; Metazoa; Arthropoda; Arachnida; Araneae; Nephilidae.